This 74-nucleotide long non-coding RNA is filed under the name Bos indicus x Bos taurus (hybrid cattle). RNAcentral's name for it is "lncRNA (ENSBIXG00005004934.1)". The record is from RNAcentral. Lineage: Eukaryota; Metazoa; Chordata; Mammalia; Artiodactyla; Bovidae.
AAAACAUGGCUGCAGUUAUCAGAGCAUCCUUCUGUGACACUGUCUUCCCUUCCUGUUCAUAUCCGAUGGUCAUC